UACCUCUAAGGGUCACACCUGGAGAGUUUCUAGUACUCUACCCAUCUCAACUAUGGGAGGGAGAGUCAAGCAGAGGCCUACCCAUUCCAUCCUAGCUUGGCCAGUGGCUAGCGAGUGGAAGGCAAUCUGCUACAAGU
RNAcentral lists this small nucleolar RNA (137 nucleotides) under Ornithorhynchus anatinus (platypus). Lineage: Eukaryota; Metazoa; Chordata; Mammalia; Monotremata; Ornithorhynchidae. The record is from RNAcentral.